AUUUAUAUAGCUUAAUAAAUAAGAGCAUUGUGUUGAAGCCGCGAAAGUGAUUUUUAUAUCUAUAAAUA
RNAcentral lists this transfer RNA (68 nucleotides) under Globospongicola spinulatus. RNAcentral describes it as "tRNA-Phe". The record is from RNAcentral. Lineage: Eukaryota; Metazoa; Arthropoda; Malacostraca; Decapoda; Spongicolidae.